GGUCAGUUUCAGUACCAUAUUAACAAUGUACAGGGAUACUGGAGUGAUGGAGGUAGAUAUGUAUAGGGGGAAGGGGACAGGGAUACUGGAGUGAUGGAGGUAGAUAUGUAUAGGGGGAAGGGGACAGGGAUACUGGAGUGAUGGAGGUAGAUAUGUAUAGGGGGAAGGGGACAGGGAUACUGGAGUGAUGGAGGUAGAUAUGUAUAGGGGGAAGGAGACAGGGAUACUGGAGUGAUGAGGUAGAUAAGUAUAGGGGAAGGAGACAGGGAUACUGGAGUGAUGGAGGUAGAUAUGUAUAGGGG
This is a long non-coding RNA of Oncorhynchus tshawytscha (Chinook salmon), 302 nucleotides long. The record is from Ensembl. Lineage: Eukaryota; Metazoa; Chordata; Actinopteri; Salmoniformes; Salmonidae.